CCUACGGGCGGCAGCAGUGAGGAAUAUUGGUCAAUGGGCGGGAGCCUGAACCAGCCAAGUCGCGUGAAGGAUGACUGCCCUACGGGUUGUAAACUUCUUUUGUAAAGGAAUAAAGUCAGGCACGUGUGCCUUUUUGUAUGUACUUUAUGAAUAAGGAUCGGCUAACUCCGUGCCAGCAGCCGCGGUAAUACGGAGGAUCCGAGCGUUAUCCGGAUUUAUUGGGUUUAAAGGGAGCGUAGAUGGGUUGUUAAGUCAGUUGUGAAAGUUUGCGGCUCAACCGUAAAAUUGCAAUUGAUACUGGAAGCCUUGAGUACAGUUGAGGUAGGCGGAAUUCGUGGUGUAGCGGUGAAAUGCUUAGAUAUCACGAAGAACUCCGAUUGCGAAGGCAGCUUACUAACCCGCCACUGACAUUGAUGCGCGAAAGUGUGGGUAUCAAACAGGAUUAGAUACCCCGGUAGUC
This 460-nucleotide ribosomal RNA is filed under the name uncultured bacterium. Its description in RNAcentral is "partial 16S ribosomal RNA". It matches the Rfam family "Bacterial small subunit ribosomal RNA", at positions 338 to 795 of the family's 1533-position model. The record is from RNAcentral.